This 248-nucleotide long non-coding RNA is filed under the name dengue virus type 1. RNAcentral's name for it is "Dengue virus 1 partial sfRNA1". The stretch from base 149 to 220 matches the Rfam family "Flavivirus DB element". Lineage: Riboviria; Orthornavirae; Kitrinoviricota; Flasuviricetes; Amarillovirales; Flaviviridae. The record is from RNAcentral.
AAGAAGUCAGGCCGGAUUAAGCCAUAGUACGGUAAGAGCUAUGCUGCCUGUGAGCCCCGUCUAAGGACGUAAAAUGAAGUCAGGCCGAAAGCCACGGCUUGAGCAAACCGUGCUGCCUGUAGCUCCAUCGUGGGGAUGUAAAAACCUGGGAGGCUGCAACCCAUGGAAGCUGUACGCAUGGGGUAGCAGACUAGUGGUUAGAGGAGACCCCUCCCGAAACACGACGCAGCAGCGGGGCCCAACACCAG